RNAcentral lists this long non-coding RNA (553 nucleotides) under Pongo abelii (Sumatran orangutan). RNAcentral's name for it is "lincRNA". The record is from RNAcentral. Lineage: Eukaryota; Metazoa; Chordata; Mammalia; Primates; Hominidae.
GCAGAUUGAGGCAGCUUCAUCUCAUUCCUGGUUCAUCCUGAUUCCCUCAGUGGCUUGCUCCUGCAUUAGUAAUGUAAAACUGGCCCAAAGUGUUUAAAAUGGUCAGAAGUUGAUCUUGAUCAGUUCAAAUAUUUUUUGACAAAGAAAAUCAGUUCUGGUCAGUUCAAAUCUAUUUUGACCAGUUUAAACCAAUUCUGCAGAACUUGAGCCUGAGGUCGGUAGGAAGAUGGCUGAAGACUAUGCUGAUUCAAGCCAAAGCAAGGAAUCAGAGAAAGGUAAGAUUCAUUAAGACUUGGGUGAAAAGAGUUAACAUGGGAAGAAUCCUGGAAGACUUCAAGAAGUGGAAUUCAAACUGAAUCCUGAAGAAUAGGAUGGGCUGCAAAGGAGAUUCUUCCAGGAUUUCAGAAGUUGGAAGGGAGGCAGAAUCCAUUUGGUAACAUAAACACAUUAUUGCUUAUCUGCUGACUCAACUUGGGAUGAAGCAGCAGCUGAGCCAGUUGUGUGUGUACAGCUCAAGGACAAAGGUCCUUAGCUUCUGCAGAAUACUAUCAUC